AGGCAUGGGAAGACAUAUCAAAUCAACUAACCGCCUCUCAAACGUUCAGCCAUCGGUCACCAGCUGACUCCGAGAAAAAGUUGUAUGACGUUCUCUCGAAAAACAGAAGUGAAAUCGCAGCUUUCAAGGCCUGCUUCAUGCGCACUGGCGGAGGACCACCUGGCAAAUAUUUGAGCGAAGUUGCAGAAGUUGUGCAGCGUUUUCUUGGAGAGGAUAACCCCAGCAUCUCUGGGUUGGACAGCGGCCAUGAUCCAGCUGCGAUGAAGCUUGAGUUGAUUUCAAAAGGUUUGGAUCGAGAUGCAUUAGAGUCUCCUGUGUCCCCAGGCAUCUCACAUACACACUCUCCCUCUGCCUUUGACGCGGUGCAGCCAGGCCCGAGCACUUUGUGUGAGGCAACAGGCAACAAUUAAGUGUGGAGGUUGGCGAAGUGUUGUCUGAAGGCUGCCCCUUCACAUGGAUGGAUGUUGCCAGGAAUGCUCACGUCUCCAUCUCCUCCCUCAUCGUCAUCAUCGUCUGCUGUUUGGAGUGGGACAUUGCGCCCCUUACAAAUGUUGUGCAGUAUUGCACAUGCCAUAAUGAUAUGGCACACUGUCUGAAGUGUGCCGUAUUUCUGAAUGCAUCACAUGAAAUCUGUGUUUCCACUGGCCAAUCCAACCUCUCCACCACGCGUUGUGU
Long non-coding RNA from Nerophis ophidion (straightnose pipefish), 675 nucleotides. RefSeq lists it as uncharacterized. The transcript has 4 exons. The record is from RefSeq and is a predicted model, not a curated record. Lineage: Eukaryota; Metazoa; Chordata; Actinopteri; Syngnathiformes; Syngnathidae.